AGCAUGGCUUGACAAGUGGUGCCAUGUCCACACCUGGGAUCCGAACUGCUGAACCCGGAGCUGCUGAAGUGGAACGUGGGAACUUAACUGCUGUGCCACCGGGCCGACCCCAGUUGUAUAGAUUUGUAUAAUAAUGAGAAAAGCUUUCAGUAAUUCACCGUCAAGUAUGCUGUUUGCUCAAGACUCAUUGGAGAUGACCUCUAUCAGAAUUAGACAGGUCCCUUCGAUUCCUAGUUUGCUGGACUGGUGACGGAAAGGACUCAAAUUGAAGAUAUAUCUAGGGAGGUGCCUGUUGAUAACACUUCCAGUUUCAGACAACCCUGUGUGAUACCCUUUGGACCCUGAAUAUUGGGACUUCCUGUGCUGUGCUCAUAAGGCAUUAUGUAAGACACAUGAGGGCACAUUCCCAGCGAUGGACACUCACUGAGAGUCCACUGUGAGCUGGUCCCUGUAGACAAGGGUCAGUAACUCACACGUGCCGGAGUCAGGAAGCCUGCAGCCUCCUAAGGGAAGACAUAUCUGCAAAUAAAAAAUAGAGUACAGAGUGCUGAAUGCUGUGGCAAAGACAAACACAGGUACGGUGAGUUUUAGGUAAGACACACCCACCCACUGGGAGCAGGAGGUAAGCAAGGAAGGCUUUUCUCAAGGGGAGGAAGUCCCUUUUAGUUGAGUCAUGAAGGAUGGGUAAGAACUAGAGAGGCUGAAAGAAGGAGAGGUGGGUGGUGGGAGGGUGUUCCCAGCUUGAGGGGCCAGCGGCAGUGUGGGCUGAGAAGCAGCAGGCACGUGGUGUUCCGGAGGACUGCAAGGCCUGUGGACUGACUGGAGCAUAAGAUCGGAGGCGGUCAGAGUCAACAGGAGUACAGGCAGAAGAUGAAUUCAGGAAAUUUCAGUGGCCCGCCCAGUGGCGCAGCCAUUAAGUGUGCACGUUCUGCUUCGGUGGCCUGGGGUUCACGGGAUGGAGGUAAUUGAUUAUUAUCCAGUAAGGAAUGGAGAUUAUGGCCUGUGAGGGGUGUUAUUUGUCAGGGUUCUCCAGAGAAGCAGAACCAAUAGGAGUCGUUGACAGUUCUGUGACACUGUCUAUUCACAAUCUGUUCCUGCUUGAUAAUGAUCAAUUAACAUAUACAUAUAUAUUAUGUAUAUUUUGUAUACAAGGAGAGAGAGAUUGAUUUGAAGGAGUUGACUCAUGCAGUUGUUUGGGCUGACAAGUCUGAAAUGGACAGGCAGAUUGGCAGGCUGGAGACCCCGAAGAGACUUGUUGCAGUCUCGAGUCCAAAGGCAUUCUGGAGCAGAAUUCUCUCUUCCUGGGAAGAGGUCAGUCUUUUUUCUCAUAAGGCCUUCAACUGAUUGGAUGAGGCCCAGCCACAUUAUGGAGGGUAAUCUGCUUUAUUCAAAGUCUACUGUUUAAAUAUUAAUCACAUCUGAAAAAUACCUUACGGUACAUCUCAGCAGCUGGAGGGCAUAAUCAUGCAUCACGCCUCUAGUUACAUGUGCUGUUUCCUUAUAAUAACUUUUUUUAUUCCUGCAAAUUUAAAUGUGGGCAGAAGUGACCAGGAGACCUGCUUGGUGUCUGUAUUGGGGUUAGUGGGCCAUUGUUUGUGUUCUCAUUAGUGAUCUCAUGGGCUCUCAUCAUUUAUUUGGAUGUGAGUUUUGAGGUCUUCGUGUGGGUGUGGUUAUGCAUUUCCACAUUACACUGUUAAUGAAGUGACACAAUGUGAUAUGUGCUUUGGUUUGAUGCCAGGUUAGGUGUGGGUUGAUGAACUCCAGGCCUUCAGUGAAAUGUGUCAAGUGACAGUCUGGUCCCUGGUUGGUUUUAAGAUGUUAAAUAUAAGUCUGUGUCAAGCUACAGAGCUGUUUCCUCAGGAUGAGCCUCACUGGGAGGUGGGUGGUUAACAUGGGGCUGAGGCCCGGCUUCCUGGGUCCAGGCUGGUAGUUCCUUGAGAGCUGUGUGCUCUAACUGUCCCCAGAGCACAUGCUGUCGCAGAGGUUGCUUGGACCAGACUUGGGAAGGCCUGCACCUAUCUCAAGUUAUGUAUGGAUGCCGUUCUCAGCGUUUUUGGGUUGCGGUGGCAUGCCUCCUGUGGAGAGGGUAUAUGAUGUGUUCAAAGUUAUUCUUAGUGGUUCUUCUGCUGGUCUCUGGACCAGCAGCAUCAGCAUCACCUGGGAGUUUGUUAGAAAUGCAGAUUCUUGUGCCCCACCCCAGACCGGCUGAAUCAGACAUUCUGGGGGUGGGGCUCAGCAAGCUAUAGAUUACCCAGCCCUCCAGGAGGGUCCCGUAUACCCUCAUGCCUGAGAACCACGAUUCUCGGGAAAUAGCUGCACGAGUCUGACCUAUUAACAGUGCUGUAGUUAAUUGAUAGUGGCUGCUGCAGAUUUCUUAAAUAUUUUAGUUUAAUAUUUAACAUCACUGUUCCUCUCCAAACAUGUUUUCUGCCUUUCUUCAGUAUCAUUUCCCUUCCCGCUGCUAAAAUCAUUACUGCACCUCUUCACUUCGCUUACCUUGCCCUAAACCCUGAAUGUUUAACCUUCUGUCUUUCUGUAUUGGCACAAAUUUCAAUUCUCUCUUAAAGCCCACUUGGUUUCUAAUUUAAUGCUAAUGUUUUUACCAUGAUUUGCACCCCUCGUUGGGAUUUUCCCUUUUCUGAACUCCAGAAGCGCUCACCGCCUACAUAGGUGCUGUUUUCAUGUGGGGCCCUCGCCACUGGAUUACCACAAGUGUCUGUUCAGUGUUGUUCCUGGUGUCUAAUGGCAUCUCCAUGCAAAUGGAUUUUUUUGAUCAAGAGAUCUUAGAAUGUGGCCGCGUGGAAGAGAACUGACUCCCGUGGAGGAGCGGAGGCAGCCGGUGCUCUCCGGCCAGUGCUCUCGGGCCGCUCAGCCUUCGGAGAAGGAGGCCAGGGACAUCAUGCUGUGCCCAGGGAUGCACCAGAGUUGGCCAGGAGGCAGCAGGAGCAAGGGAGAAUGUGGGCACAAGCCUCAUCGUGUUCUGUGGGAAGGAGUGGGCGAGGCAGGGGGAGCAGACUUAGCAUCGCUGGUUUGGAUAAUUUCGGUGGUCCGGCUCUAAGGGCCGUCUUAAUGGUCUGCCUGCCCCGGGAUGCUUCAGGGCAGGAGAAUAGUGUCCCAAAGUGCAGGCGCCUGAUAGAAAGACGUGAGAGGGGUGUGGACUCAGGCUUCAUUGGUUUGCACAUCAAGGGCGUGAUCACAGACAAGUUGUUUGCUGCCUCUAGGAAUGAGCUCACUCUGAAAGGGCCAGUCCCUCCUCUGUCCGCAAGCCGCUAAAUGUCAAAGCAUCAUAAAAUACAGAACAUAAAAAACGUGAGUAAUACAAAUACUAUAGAGAUGUCACUCAGAGACUGUAGCUAUAUUAUUACUUGAACAAAAUUGAGAGCAUUUCCUCUCUGUCUGCAUCUGAAUUCCAUGAGAGCAAUGGCAAGUAAUCUUUUCCUGUACUUUUAUCUAGAAGGUUAAUUUCAUUUGUCUUUAGUUUGUAUCCCACAUUGAAUCAGAGCAAAAAAGAAUUUGAAAAGUGGACUUGAAACAGCAGGUGAAAUUCAGAUAGUGGUUUAUCACUGGAGUUGUUAAACAGGCUUUCAGUGUUUCCUACAGUUCAUGCAGCCAGUGGGUGUCACCCUCUGUUCUGAUGGCAGAGGACCAGCAGGUGCCCGAAAGCCCUGGAGUGCUCCUGGAGUGCGGUCUGACGGUGAAGGGAAGGGUGGAGGCGUUGCCCGACAGUUCCAAGGUCAUGGCUUGAAAUCACCAAACACAAGUUGGUGGGUGAAAAUCCUUUGUUUUGCUUCCUUGAUUGGAAUUCAUAGACAGGGAAAUGAAGACACUGAUUAAUUAGAAAACAUCAUUGUAACUUGUAGUAUAAGUAUAUGAUGCAUCCAAGGCCAUCAGGAGGGAACAGAAAUCAGGCCUUUUUGGUUAUUUUCCCACCUCAUAAUCCUCUCUUCCGAAAUGAUGGAUUUUAAAUUGGCAGAUGGAGAGGUACCAUAGCAAAGACUUACUUUAUGUUCCUUAAACCAUUAUCUCCCCCUUUCGGAGCACUGGGUUUUAUUCCUAAAGCUUUAUUUUCAGUUUUCAGAGCUAAAGUUUGAAACCUGAGAAAUCACAGUAAUGGUUUUAUUUUUCUCCAUUCAUGUCUAUUUCCUUAAGAGUUCUGUCUGGGAGGAUAAAAGGGCUCAUUUUUCCUUUUUUUAAAAAAUUAAUUCUCUAUUCAUUAAUAGUGGUGUGGAUUUAUGUGCUUUAUGAAAGCGUUAGCCCAGACAGAGGCAGAGGAUGUUAGAGCCGCAGGAGCUCUGGGGAACGUGGAGUCCAAGUGCUUCAUUUCACAGACCGGCGCAGUCGGGGCCGGAGGCUCGCUGUCGUUUGUUCCAGUUUUGCAGCUCUUUAUGGCAGGGUUGGCGUUUGGUCUUAGGUCACCAGACCCCAAAUUCAGAAUUCUUCCUGCUCUAUCAUAUAGUAGUAAAUCCUUUUUUAUUUGCAAAAUUGUUCAAAGAAUGAGGGCAGCAUAGCAUAAGAGAAAUGUAAAUUUAUUUUGACGUGCAAAAUUAUCAUCUUUCCUGUGUAUGUCUACACAUCUAUAAUCUUGAUCCAUCCAAAAGACAUAUGCACAUAAGGAGCUUGAGUAAUUUAACUCUUAAGGAAGAGGUAAUGUCAUUUUUGUGAGGAAUAUGUUUCUUCUAUCUAGGCAGAAUUUCAAUAGCAAAUAAAGAAGGGUGAACCAAACACCCUAAUCCACCAACUGAGUGACAGGCAGCAUGUUCUGUAUUCCUUUCUAUAUUUGAAUGAUACAGUGAUUAUAAAAAUGCUUCAGGAGCUGUUGUGCUCACGUAAUCAACUCUUUAAAUACUAUUUCUUGUUACUAUUUCAGUUUUUGCAGUAGAACCUGUAUGAGACAGGACUCAUGUUGUUUUGAAUUAUGUAAAUUUCACGUGUCGAGUGGGUAAAGGGGGAUGAAAUUGGGGUAAAGAGCUACCCUAGAAAAUUAGACCCGAUUCAGUUCAUUGUUUCACAUGCAGCACAAGAGAGGCAGAUAGGAUGGGUUCCUGCUCUCCCACCCCCACCCGCUCUAUGGAGCAGCGGCCAUGCGGCCCCGCCUGUGGCCCCCAGACCUUAAGUGGCGUCAGCUGGCUUGUUGGAAACUCAUAAUCUCAGGCCCCACCCCAGACCUACUGACUCAAGAUCUGCAUUUUAACAAGAGGCCCAGGUGAUUUGUAUGCAUGUUACAGGUUGAGAAGCACUGGGUUAUAGUACCUGUUAUCAGGAUGCUACUUUAUUAGUUGCACGAAGAUAUCCAUGGUAACUUUCAGUGUGUCAUUUACCAGGCCCAAAAAUACUAUUCUUGAACCUUGCAUUCAUGCCUUCAUUCAGCAAAUGUUUGUUGAGCUAGACUAGGUGCCAGACUAUGUUCUGGGGAUGAAGGGUGGUUAAGACAUUGUCUCAGCAAGCUCAUCAAGCAGGUGAGACCAAUAGGAUGGAUGAUGGCAGUCCAGUGCCAGAGGCCCAAUAACAGAGAUUAGCACAGGAUAUUUCCAGGCUUCAGAGGGUUACCCAACCUAGUGUGGGUGGAGUGGGGAGAAGGAAGUAGGAUCAAAGAAAGCUUCCUGAGUUAACUCCUAAAGGAUGAGUAGAUGUGUAUUUGUUUUCUAUUGCUGCAUAACACAUUACCACAAACUUAGUGGAUUAAAACCCCCCUUUUCUGUUACCUCAGAUUUUCUGUAGGUCAGGUGUCCAGGCUUAAAGGGAUUCUCUGCUCAGGGUCUCAAAAGGUAAAAUCAGAGUGUUGGCCUGGCUGAGUUCCUUUUGGAGCUCAGUGGUCUCUUCCAAGCUCAUCUGAUUUUCAGCAGAAUUCAGUUUGUUGUGGUUGUAGGACUGAGGUUCCCGUUUUCUCUGGCUGUCAAACAGGGGCCACUCUUGGCUCCAAGAGGCUCUGCACUUGUUUGCCACGUGGCCCUCUUACAGCAUGCUGUCCCAUUUUCAAGGCCAGCAGAGAUUCUGGCUCCAAUCAGUUGAGUUGGUGUCAUAUUGUGAUACAAUCAAGGGGGCGACUGUCCCAUCACUUUUGCCGUAUUUGGUGAUCUAGACGGCAGUGACAGGUUCCACCCCACUCAGGGGAGGGGAUUCUAUCAGGGGUCGUCUGAGAAUCCUGCCCACAGCAAGGAAAUUAGCUGGUGGAGGAGGGAGUGUGGAUGAAAGAAACUACAGAGCGAGUUCAGGGAACUUUGGGUGGGAGGUAAAAAGAGCUUUAGAAUAUAAAACGAUGAACUCCUUUUGGUAGUUUCUGAGUUUUGGGAGCUUGUAGAGGGUCCGGAUGAAGCUGUGCAGUGGGACUUUGGAUCCGCUUGUUUGAAACUUGACGGAGGGAGAUGAAGAUCCAUCAGUCAUCGUGCUGUGAGACUGAAAGUGGACUGAAUGGCGUAGGGUGCGUGGGUAGGCCGUGGCCAGAUGGAAGCCCUGGAAGAGCAGCAGUGAUGGUCGAGCACGGGAAGAGGCCUGGGCAGGGAAGGCAAAGGUGAGCCCAAGGCUGCGACGCAGGGGAAGGGCGAGGGCAGUGUCGUCACAGUCAGGCCGUGAGAAUGCGAUGAGGAGGAGGGAACGGCAGAGGACGCCCUCUAAUCAGCCACUCAGCAGAGAGUCAACGCCUAGCAAAUGAUGGGUAGUCAGCACCCAAACAUUGGAUGUUGUAUUUUAUUUGCAUCCUUAAAACUCAGCAGAGUUCCUGGCGUAUAAUAAUUGCUCAAUAAAUGUUUUUUAAAUAGGUAAUUAAUUCAGUUAGGGUUUUAAGGUUCUUCUUUACUCUCUCCUCAGAAUUCUUCUUUGAUCAGAGAUUUGUUCAUUUGAGAUGAUUUUUCACUUGGUAAACACAAGUAGGCAAGCUAACAGUUUCUAUUGAAUCUGGAUACAGUCUUAACAAUUUGAAACCUGGCAACAUACCUGUGAUAGCUACCACGGAGAGUCUACCACGUGUGUGUAAUAAGGCUUCACCCGAGGAUCUCUAAUCCUUAAAAUGAUCCAGGAAAGAAGUUAUGAUUAUCUCCAAGUCACAGGUUAGGAAACUAAGGUUCAGAGAGGUUAAAUCACUUGCCCAACGUCACACAGCUAUAGGGGGAGCGGGGGUUUGAGCCCUCAGCUGUCUGGUUUUAAAACCUGUACAGAGACAGAACUCUCUUAUUGUAUAUAAAACACUAAAUAGCCUAGGAAUCAUAUUAAAACAUAAGGCUGUAAUAAGUAAAACAGUGUGGUACUGGUACUUGAAUAGAGAGACAAACUAAAGAAACAGAAGAGAAAAGCCAUAAGUAGGAGCAAAUGCACAUGGCAGUUUAGUAUGUGGUUCACACGUCUUAGACUGGUGGGGAGGAUGAGGGCCAUUCAGUAGGUGGUCUUGGGACAGGUGAAUAGCCACCUGGGCAAAGAUAUUGUGUCUUUACUUCAUACCAUGUCCUGGGACAGCUUCAGAUUUAUCAAAGAUUUAAAUGUAAGAAAGAAACCGUAAGUGUAAUAGACAUAAACAAAGGAGAAGGCUUUAUGAUCUGGGAGUGGAGAAGCAUUUUCCAACUAUUACUCAAAUCUAAAAGCCAUAAAAGAAAAGUUUGAUAAUUUCAUUUUUUUAAAAUAAACAAACAACAAAAAUUUCUGCAUAUUAAAAAAGAUCGUAAGAAAAGUAAAAAAGAGAAAUCACAAACUUGGAGAAAAUAGUUCAUCUCAUAUUGUAGACAAAGGACUAAUCUUCCUAAUUUAUCAAGACCAAAAGAUGAAUAAUCAUUCCAACAGAAAAGUGGACCAAGGAUAUAAAGAGACAUUUCACAGAGAAGGAAAUACAAAUGGCUUUUAAAUAUGCAAAAUGAUCUUUAACUUCCUCAUAAUGAAACAGAUGUAAAUUAAAACUAUAGUGAGAGACCAUUUUUCAGUCAUCUUGGCAAGACUCCAAAAAUUUGUUGACAAGGCUAUGCGGAAACAGGCCCUGGCCCGAGGCAUUUGGCACUGUUGACGGGCACCUUGUGUGGGGCCCGCUGUGGUGGUAUUUAUCUGCAGGAAAACAUGUCUGCUUGGGCCCGCACUUCCACUUCUGAAAAGUCAUUCUGUGAUCGCCUUGCACACAUGCAAGAUGAAAUGUGUGCUCCUUUUUCACUGCAGCAUUAUAUGAUUGGAAAAAAGAUUGGAAACAACCUAAACAUCCAAAAAUAUGGAACCAGUUAAAUAAAUUAUGAAAUAUCCAUUCAGGGUAAUACUGUGCAGCUGUGAAAACAAGAACAACAAUGCUCUUUAUAACCUGAUGAAGAUCUCCAAGGUAUUUUGCUAAGUGAAAAGAGAGUCAGAAAACAGAAUUAUCAUGUGCUACCUUUUGUGCAUGAGAACAAACAUAAGAAUAUAUAUUCACAUUUCUUUGUAUUCUUAUAACAACCACUUUGCAUGGGUGAGUUAGACUGAUAACAGGGAUCACCGGAUGGGGGUACUAUGAAUUGGCCGAUGGGGGAGGGUAGGUGGGAAAGUUGUCACUGGAUUAUUUGUUUGUAUGUAUAUUUUUUUCCUUGAACCAUAUGAACUCAAAAGAUAAAAGGAAUUAUAUCUAUAGAAAGAUACCAAGCUAAGGCAUCUCAAGGAAUCUGUCAAGAUCAAUUCUCUAUGGCUCUAUGGGCAGGUGGCAGCCUGGCGCAGCCAUCUUCAAACUUGUUAGUUUGCUUACCCUGUCAGUAAAGAAAGUUGAUCACAUAUCUCCAUAUAUGUGGAUUAUUUGUUUAUUUGAAAAUUAUAUGACUUACUACUAUACAAAUCGUAUUUUGUACCUUAAAGCCGUAGACUAAAAAAGAAACUAAAAAAGUGUACAUAAAAAUGAAAUUAAUAGUAUUUAUUUUAACAGUUAAAAAUGAGUUUGCUCUCAUUAAAAUAUUAAUAUGAAUGAUUCUUUUUUGGAAACUCGAUUCAGAGCUUUGUGUUGCCAUUAUCUGAAGUCUAUUUAUUUUAUUUUAGUGAGGUCAUAAUAGUUUAUAACAUUGUGAAAUUACAGUUGUACAUUA
Non-coding RNA from Equus caballus (horse), 9011 nucleotides. Lineage: Eukaryota; Metazoa; Chordata; Mammalia; Perissodactyla; Equidae. The record is from RefSeq and is a predicted model, not a curated record.